Molecule: long non-coding RNA, 671 nt
Organism: Heterocephalus glaber (naked mole-rat)
Lineage: Eukaryota; Metazoa; Chordata; Mammalia; Rodentia; Bathyergidae
Source: RefSeq, a predicted model, not a curated record
GGCUCCGAGGGCCCGCGGCGCGCAGGCGUGCAGGCGAACCCGCCCCCACGCCGACACGUGACACUCCGCUACGCGGGGCGGGACUUCUGCUAAAGCGCUGGGAACAGUCUGCGGAGUUGGUUGCGUCCGGACUCUCCGGCUUGGCGUUCUCACAAGGACCAGAUUUGGAGCCAGCUGACUGUCCUGUGAUUUCAGAUGUCCAGACAUCUCUUCAUGUGCCAUCUCGCAAACAGUCACAACUACCUAAGUCCCACAGGAGCAGUGCUGAUAUCCUUCCUGCUCCCAAAACGGGCUUUGUCAACAGAAAAGAGAAGGAAUGACUGUUGGGAGACAACUGAUACUGUCUGCAACUGGGAGUCUUUGAAAGGCUUUUAAACGAGAUGAAGCGAUUUAUAUGUCUGCAAGAUUUUUCUGUUGCAGGGUGUAGGAUGAAAUCUGGAAUCAAGAGAGAGAUAGUAAGGCAUCAAGAUCAGUUACUUGCUGUGAUAAUACAGGAAAAAGAGAAUGGGGACCCAGAGGAGGGACUUGGCAACUAGAAUGGUAGGAAGUUGAUGCAUUCAAAAUAAAUAUCCAUUUAUUAAAGUUGUUUACUUUUUACCAGAGUAAUACAUAGUUUUAAAAGUACAUAGUGUUAUUAUGUUAACAAUAAAAACAUUUCAAAAUAACAUGCA